Molecule: ribosomal RNA, 253 nt
Filed under: uncultured bacterium
Lineage: Bacteria
Description: partial 16S ribosomal RNA
Rfam family: Bacterial small subunit ribosomal RNA
Source: RNAcentral
UACGUAGGGGGCUAGCGUUGUCCGGAAUCAUUGGGCGUAAAGCGCGUGUAGGCGGCUCGGUAAGUCCGCUCUGAAAGCCCGGGGCUCAACCCCGGGAGGCGGGUGGAUACUGUCGAGCUCGAGUCCGGAAGAGGCAAGUGGAAUUCCCGGUGUAGCGGUGAAAUGCGUAGAUAUCAGGAGGAACACCUGCGGUGUAGACGGCUUACUGGACCAUAACUGACGCUGAGGCACGAAAGCGUGGGUAGCAAACAGG